This is a long non-coding RNA of Panicum virgatum (switchgrass), 1825 nucleotides long. RefSeq lists it as uncharacterized. The transcript has 4 exons. Lineage: Eukaryota; Viridiplantae; Streptophyta; Magnoliopsida; Poales; Poaceae. The record is from RefSeq and is a predicted model, not a curated record.
AACAACCCUUACCCAGUCGCCCCUUACCCGUCUCCCUCGGUCCCUCGCGCCGCCUUGCCUCCCGCCCGCCGCCCGUGCAGCCGCGCAGGUGGCCGCCGCUGCUCCUUCCCGGCUCCCGCUCACCGAGCGCGCAGGUGGCCGCCGCCGUCCCCUACCACCGCCGCCCGCACAUGUGGCCGCCACAACCCCUCCCGCCCGGUGCCCACGUAGCGACGGGGACAACAAGGUGCGGAGGCCUACAAGCGGCAGCGGCAGAGCCUCCACUCCAACGACGUAGCAGCCCGCAGGGCACUCCCGCUUGCAGUUUGCAGCAGGCAGCAGCGGGCCGGAGCUUCCUCCUCCCCUUGCGAAUCGACGGCGACGGUUCCUCCUCACGUGGAUCCGCGACGACUCCUCAACUUGGGAGCCAGGACAAGCGGCGCCUCUUCCCGAGGAGCUGGCGGCGGACUUGACUGGUGGCUCUAUGUGGAACGGUGAUUUGUUAGUGCUCGAUCUGUGCAUUCCUGGUCUAUUCUUGAUCUAUUAGGACAUGAUCUGUUAGUUAUCGAUCUAUUAGUAAUUAAUUAGUACUACUUGUGACAAUUGAUUAGUAGAGUGCUUGAUCUGUGAGACAUGGCAAUAUAAAUUUGCGCUAAAUUUGUUGCUCAUCAUAACUAAAUAUCUGAACUACUAGUCAGAAUCAGUUCUAGAGUUAGCUAGGUUCAGGAUCAUGGGUGCUAAUUUUUGUUCCUGAACUUCUCUUGUUGAAAUCUGCAAGAUAGUAUGAGGCGUUGGCAUGGCUGCUUCGAAAUAAACAACUCAAUAUCUGUUCAUAUGGCUCAGUAUUGCAUCUCACUUCUGGUUAUUGAGUAACUUGAUGCCGCACCAGAGUAUUGGCAUCAGAAAUUCAGAUAUUACAAAAUGGAGUUAAUUCUUAAUCUUGUAAUGCUGGGAGGAAUGCCCUCAUGUUUGGAACUCAGUAAAAUAGAGUAAGUUCUGUCGCUUCAAUUGAGUGUUCUUUUUUACUUCCAUGGUUAUUAUACUGCCAUGUAGCCAAUAUCCUCAGUUGAUUUAAUUUCUGGAUGGAUUUUUCUAUGUUUUGACUUGCCAGUACCAUGGUAUUUUUUUAUCACAUUAGCAAUUGUUUCUGCCAGCUCAGUCCAAAGGUAUGCAUAUACACAGUUGAUUUCUUUGCAAUUCAGCCAAUGAAACUGAUUGUGAUCUAACAUCAGGUGAAAAGCAUUGAUUCCAAUGAGCUAUAAGCAGGAUGUCUGACUCCUACAUGAAUCUUCAGCUUGCUACCACACAGGAGUACAUUGAUGGGCAAUUCUCUGGGAACCUUGGAGAGAUUUUGAUCAGAAAAUGUCAGUAUGAUGCACUCUUUAAAAAGAUUGACGACCUCUCUCAAGCAGAAGUGGACGUCCUCCCUUGAGCAGCAAAGACCACCUCCAUAUCUUUUCCACCAGCAACGAGAAACAAGCCACCAGGGAACUGAGCAAGAUCUGGAAUUGAUUGAAAAAACCCUUGUACCUGAUAAUCGGCGAACUGGAAGAUGCUCCAUUGUUAGAGAACAUAGGUCCUAUUUGUGAUUUGUGGUCUUAUACUGCAUAGGUAAUUAAGGAAGCAAAUAUGUGGCUGAGUGCACCAUCACUAGUGUACAUCUCAUGUAAGUUACAUUUGCUAGCACAAAUGAUCUAUGGCUGUCUGGAUUGAUAUGUUUUCCUGACAAAAUAGCAAGGUUGUGUGGAUUGAUUUGUUGUCUCGACAAAAUAGCUGAAUGGUUGUAUUCUGCUGGGUCUUGUUGGGCCUUGAAAGUUGUCAAGUACAAAUGGGUUUUUUUAGGUCA